AACCAGUUAUUCUAAACUUUUGACCAGUAGUGUACAUUCCUGGGUAAAAAAAAAGAAAAAAAAAUUGUUCAUACAUAUUAUUUUAAACAUAUUUAAUCUGAAAUAUGGGGAAAUUUGAUGGGUUUUAUUAAACUGAUCAGUGAUUGAAUUAUAAGCUCAAAUAUGUAAAUAUAAGCUCAAAAUAUGGUUGCAAAGGGUUUUAAAAAAUAUUUUAUAGUAAAUAAGUAAGUGGGCAUAAGUUUUAUUAAUUUAGCUAAAACAUCAUUUAGCUAAAAAGUUUAUAUCAUAUCUGAUCAAAUCAUCUGUAAAUUUUGCUAGUGUAUUUGAUUUCCUAACAUAUGAAAGAUUGGACAAAAUCUGGCUUUUGAAUUUUAUAAAUAUAUAAAAUUCUUUUGAUUUUAUAAUGUUCAGGCUAUCUGGGGCUAAUUUGAAUGCUUUUCCCUGGAAAAAAAUGAAACAUGCACUUUUAGAGUCUUCACCUUUUCAAACACUGUUGGUCUAUUUUUUUAUUGUUUAUGGUGAAAAUCAAGCUAAUUUUUGCCUGAAUCUGGAUCCAUAACAUCGACCAGAUGGCUCUUCUCAAAAUCGAUUUUAUGGUUUUUGAACUAAUAAAAUAGGAAAAGGGCAAUAUCACAAGUAUUAACACGCAAAAUCAUAUUCUGAAAUGUUUUCUGAAUUAAUUCCAUUGUGUUUAUUAUGUUUUAUAGAAAAAAGUUGCAAUUAUAUCUAUAAAGUAUCCUAAAGUAAAGUACGAUUUAGUAAGUCUGAGCUUGAAUGUUGUAUUGAGAAAGAACUUACUGAAACUGGAUGAGAAAGUAUAAUGCUGUCAUCAUGUUUGUGUUUUUGUCUUUUUUGUGUUUUUUUAAGGAAAGCACAAAAUGGCAGCAAAUGUAGGUUCAAAUUUCUGUAAAACAUGAAACUGUAGUGAUGGGGUGGUCAUGUAGCUCUAACUAGCAUAAGCAUAAAGCCAGAUACAUACUCAAUAAAACUGAGUUUGUGUAGCAUUUGACAUCACAGACUUGCAUAGAGUAUGUUUCAGGCCGAACAUUUUGUCUUCAUAUCAAAUAUGGUGUUUUUCUUAACUCUUGUGCUUUACCUCACUUGGUGUUUCCAGUCAAAAAUGUCUUUUGCCUUUUAAAAACUGCUUGUAAAUCUCUCAUUAUGCUACACUAUCACCAUCUUCUUUUGAACUUGUUUUCUUUUAAUUAACUAAGCUCUUUUAUUUCUUUUUGAAAGUGACUGGUCAUCUGAGCUUAUUCACAUCAGUUUGUAAAUGACAAAAAAAAAGCAUUAUUUGUGGGUAAUUUUGCCAAUAUUCCCUCAAAAACUAAAGUGCAUAAGCUUAAAUGUGUUCUAAUUAAAUGAAAACAAGUUAAUAAAAAAGACAAUAUAAUAUCUGGUUAUAAUAUAGCAUAACAAGAAGACAUUCAUAAGGAUUUUUUUGGUAGGCAGAUAAUUUUUAAUCAGGAAAAAAAUACCAAAAAAGUACAAAAAUUAUUUAAAAAAAAAACAUUGGGAAGUUGUUAUACCACAUCUCUGUAAGCAAAGUUGCCACAUUUUAGUCAAAUUGAAAUCCAAUGAAAUUAAAUAGGAUUUUCAGGAAAAAGAAAAUCCUCUCUUGGUUAAAAUGACUGGAACACAAUGAGUUAAGAAUGCUAAAUGUUUUGCUUUCGCUUAUCACAUCAAGAUUUGCCUUUAUGUACCAAAUACCACAUGAGCUCAUUAGUAGAAAAUGUAAUUUAGUUCAUGAGACACAACGUAAGUUGGAUGUUUUGAUCAUAUGACCAUUGGGAUUCGACCAUAUGAGGUAUUUUCUGCAGAUUUUGACUGCUCUGAUCUGGACUGAAGUGGGGUUUUGCCCAUACGCCAAGCUGACUACACAAUAACUUUGCACAAUUACUUUUGAAAUGAAUAUGGAAUUUCUAAUGAAGCAUAAAACACCAGUUCAUUAGACCCCCAUCAUCAUACCAGCAUCAGCGAGUUUUACUGAAAGCCUACGAAAGAUUUUCAGCUUCUGACUUUAGCGACAUCUGUGGCCUGAAUCCUUCUCAUAGCACUGUUUAUUAUCUUUAUUUUUAUGAUAUUUACUUUGACAUCUGAAAUGAUCAGUAUACGUACAUUAGAACAUUUAUAUGUGGUUUUUGUUAUUUGUUUUUGCUGCAAAUGAAUUUUCCUGGUGUGUGAGCUACUGUUGUAUGUUUCAAAAUAAUGAAUGUAAUUGGUGCUGGGGUCAAAAAGAAUAAAAAAAU
Long non-coding RNA from Cyprinus carpio carpio, 2249 nucleotides. The record is from Ensembl. NCBI's taxonomy places the organism in Eukaryota, Metazoa, Chordata, Actinopteri, Cypriniformes, Cyprinidae.